This 448-nucleotide ribosomal RNA is filed under the name uncultured bacterium. RNAcentral's name for it is "bacterial SSU rRNA". It matches the Rfam family "Bacterial small subunit ribosomal RNA", at positions 331 to 793 of the family's 1533-position model. The record is from RNAcentral.
CCAGACUCCUACGGGAGGCAGCAGUGGGGAAUAUUGCACAAUGGGGGGAACCCUGAUGCAGCAACGCCGCGUGAAGGAAGAAGGCUUUCGGGUUGUAAACUUCUAUCAAUAGGGACGAAAAGAAUGACGGUACCUAAAUAAGAAGCCCCGGCUAACUACGUGCCAGCAGCCGCGGUAAUACGUAGGGGGCAAGCGUUAUCCGGAAUUACUGGGUGUAAAGGGAGCGUAGACGGUUAAGUAAGUCUGGAGUGAAAGGCCGGGGCCCAACCCCGGGACUGCUCUGGAAACUAUUCAACUUGAGUGCAGGAGAGGUAAGCGGAAUUCCUAGUGUAGCGGUGAAAUGCGUAGAUAUUAGGAGGAACACCAGUGGCGAAGGCGGCUUACUGGACUGUAACUGACGUUGAGGCUCGAAAGCGUGGGGAGCAAACAGGAUUAGAUACCCGAGUAC